This 484-nucleotide ribosomal RNA is filed under the name uncultured bacterium. Its description in RNAcentral is "partial 16S ribosomal RNA". It matches the Rfam family "Bacterial small subunit ribosomal RNA", at positions 29 to 507 of the family's 1533-position model. The record is from RNAcentral.
AUUGAACGCUGGCGGCAUGCUUUACACAUGCAAGUCGAACGGCAGCGCGGGCUUCGGCCUGGCGGCGAGUGGCGAACGGGUGAGUAAUACAUCGGAACGUGCCCAGUCGUGGGGGAUAGCUCGGCGAAAGCCGGAUUAAUACCGCAUACGACCUGAGGGUGAAAGCGGGGGAUCUUCGGACCUAGCGCUAUUGGAGCGGCCGAUGGCAGAUUAGCUAGUUGGUGGGGUAAAGGCCUACCAAGGCGACGAUCUGUAGCUGGUCUGAGAGGACGACCAGCCACACUGGGACUGAGACACGGCCCAGACUCCUACGGGAGGCAGCAGUGGGGAAUUUUGGACAAUGGGCGAAAGCCUGAUCCAGCAAUGCCGCGUGUGUGAUGAAGGCCUUCGGGUUGUAAAGCACUUUUGGCGGGAACGAAAAGGACUGUGCCAAUACCACGGUUCGAUGACGGUACCCGCAGAAUAAGCACCGGCUAACUACGUG